Molecule: ribosomal RNA, 584 nt
Filed under: Otolithes cuvieri
Lineage: Eukaryota; Metazoa; Chordata; Actinopteri; Sciaenidae
Description: partial 16S ribosomal RNA
Rfam family: Bacterial large subunit ribosomal RNA
Source: RNAcentral
CGCCUCUUGCAAAACUAACGAAUAAGAGGUCCUGCCUGCCCCCUGACCAUGAGUUUAACGGCCGCGGUAUUUUAACCGUGCAAAGGUAGCGUAAUCACUUGUCUUUUAAAUAAGGACCCGUAUGAACGGCAAGACGAGGGCUUAGCUGUCUCCUUUCUCAAGUCAAUGAAAUUGAUCCUCCCGUGCAGAAGCGGGAAUCCUCGCAUAAGACGAGAAGACCCUGUGGAGCUUUAGGCACCAAGACAGACUAUGUAAAAACAACUCCUAGCCAAAGGACCGACCUAAUUCAAUCUGCCCUAAUGCCUUCGGUUGGGGCGACCAUGGGGUAUUAAAAAACCCCCACGUGGAAUGGAAGCAAUUCUUUCUGCUACCACAACCAAGAGCACCCCCUCUAACUAACAGAAUUUCUGACCAAUUUAUGAUCCGGCAACGCCGAUUAACGAACCAAGUUACCCCAGGGAUAACAGCGCAAUCCUCUUUUAGAGUCCAUAUCGACAAGAGGGUUUACGACCUCGAUGUUGGAUCAGGACAUCCUAAUGGUGCAACCGCUAUUAAGGGUUCGUUUGUUCAACGAUUAAAGUCCU